AGUGGGGAAUCUUGCGCAAUGGGCGAAAGCCUGACGCAGCCAUGCCGCGUGAAUGAUGAAGGUCUUAGGAUUGUAAAAUUCUUUCACCGGGGACGAUAAUGACGGUACCCGGAGAAGAAGCCCCGGCUAACUUCGUGCCAGCAGCCGCGGUAAUACGAAGGGGGCUAGCGUUGCUCGGAAUUACUGGGCGUAAAGGGAGCGUAGGCGGAUAGUUUAGUCAGAGGUGAAAGCCCAGGGCUCAACCUUGGAAUUGCCUUUGAUACUGGCUAUCUUGAGUACGGAAGAGGUAUGUGGAACUCCGAGUGUAGAGGUGAAAUUCGUAGAUAUUCGGAAGAACACCAGUGGCGAAGGCGACAUACUGGUCCGUUACUGACGCUGAGGCUCGAAAGCGUGGGGAGCAAA
This 402-nucleotide ribosomal RNA is filed under the name uncultured Caulobacter sp. RNAcentral's name for it is "bacterial SSU rRNA". It matches the Rfam family "Bacterial small subunit ribosomal RNA", at positions 353 to 772 of the family's 1533-position model. Lineage: Bacteria; Pseudomonadati; Pseudomonadota; Alphaproteobacteria; Caulobacterales; Caulobacteraceae. The record is from RNAcentral.